AAGAAAAGCCCAUCUAACAAGAGAGAAACAUACAAAUUCAUUUACGUUUUCUCUGUCAUGGAGGCCUCAGAAAAGAAGUCCCCCCAACACAGGGAAAGAUUGCAGCUGACUGAUUCACUGUUGGAUUGAUGGAGACACCAAAAUGAAUUAGAUCACAUCAUUUGGAUUCUUGUAGCUUGGAAAUUGAAUGAUCUUAUAAUGAAGAAUCUGAAUUUCAAAAAGACUCCCGGAAGGCGAGCACAGGUGUGGGGGUGUGGAAGGCACCUGGUCACAACCUGUGUCCUCGUGGCAUCCAUGCUGCCGAUGCGAAGAUGCUAAGCCAUAAAUAUACAUCGCUCAGGUCUCUGCUGGGUGCCAAGCUGCUCAGUGACACAGCAGCUUCGUCUCUCCAUCCACCCCAAGCACUGAAGCUACGUGUCCCACGCAGCCCCAAAAGAAUGAGCAAACACCCUGGGGGAAGGAAGGGAGGGCUGUUUCAGCACCAGUGGGAUUCUCACAGCAGAAGACCUGGGCUUAAGGACCCCCCAUCUGCUGGCCAGACUCUCCUUGGAGCCACAGAACAGUCCAGCCAUCCAAAUGUUUAAGCAUCCCUCUCCUCACCAGGUGCCCCCCAGCUCUGCCCCUCCUUCUGUACCCUUCUCCACAACUUCCUGCACCUCAAUCUCAUCCUGGUGUCUGCAUCUCAGCUCACCUGAACUAAGGCUGGAGGCAAGACCCCUCUUCUUAAGCCAUUAAAUGAGAAUGAACGCCUAGGUGCGGUGGCUGAGGUUGUGUUGACUUCGCUGGCCAUGGUGCACAGUAGUAUCAAAUGCCAGUCCAGAGGUUGCUGCAGAUGUAUGUUUUAGAUGUGGUCAACAUUUAAGUUAGCAGACUUUGUUUGAGUCAAGCAGAUUACUUGUCCUAAUGUAGAUGGGCCUUAUCCAAGCAGGGGCUUCCAUUUCUAAACAGGUCCUUACAGGAAUCUCUGCAGGAGAAUUUGCUGGAAGCUUCAGGAGCUCUUCUCAGAGUGCAGCUCAAUGUGACAGGUUGUUUUUUUAAAUUACAUCCCAGGUUUGCAAAUCCAAAAUGGAUCCUUAAAAGGUUUAUAUCAGAAUAAAACAUGCUUAAAGAAGCAAUUGCUUAAAUUUGGGAACACAUUUGCUAAUUUGGAUGGUAAAGGAUGAGGAACACAGGCUCUUCUGGAACAUAAAGUGUGUGAUAUAUGUUCUUCCCAGAAGUCAUGACAGGAUGAACCUGGAAAGUGUCUUCACAGUUAAGGAAUAUUUUUUUUCUGAACUAAUUAUAAUAUUUGUGAUAAAUGAUUUAUGCAAUUUCAUAAUUUCUUUUGGCCUCCAAAACACAAUCUCAAACACAUGAACAAGAACAAAAAGACUAGAAGGAAACAUAUAACAAAAUAUAACAUUGAUAAUUAUAGUCAGGCUGAGGCUACAGCUCAGUGUUAGAACAUUUGCUUAGCAGCCACCGAGCCCUGUGUUCAACCCCC
Heterocephalus glaber (naked mole-rat) is the source of this 1483-nucleotide non-coding RNA. NCBI's taxonomy places the organism in Eukaryota, Metazoa, Chordata, Mammalia, Rodentia, Bathyergidae. The record is from RefSeq and is a predicted model, not a curated record.